GAUGAACGCUGGCGGCGUGCCUAAUACACGCAAGUCGAGCGAACGGACGAGAAGCUUGCUUCUCUGAUGUUAGCGGCGGACGGGUGAGUAACACGUGGAUAACCUACCUAUAAGACUGGGAUAACUUCGGGAAACCGGAGCUAAUACCGGAUAAUAUUUUGAACCGCAUGGUUCAAAAGUAAAAGACGGUCUUGCUGUCACUUAUAGAUGGAUCCGCGCUGCAUUAGCUAGUUGGUAAGGUAACGGCUUACCAAGGCAACGAUGCAUAGCCGACCUGAGAGGGUGAUCGGCCACACUGGAACUGAGACACGGUCCAGACUCCUACGGGAGGCAGCAGUAGGGAAUCUUCCGCAAUGGGCGAAAGCCUGACGGAGCAACGCCGCGUGAGUGAUGAAGGUCUUCGGAUCGUAAAACUCUGUUAUUAGGGAAGAACAUAUGUGUAAGUAACUGUGCACAUCUUGACGGUACCUAAUCAGAAAGCCACGGCUAACUACGUGCCAGCAGCCGCGGUAAUACGUAGGUGGCAAGCGUUAUCCGGAAUUAUUGGGCGUAAAGCGCGCGUAGGCGGUUUUUUAAGUCUGAUGUGAAAGCCCACGGCUCAACCGUGGAGGGUCAUUGGAAACUGGAAAACUUGAGUGCAGAAGAGGAAAGUGGAAUUCCAUGUGUAGCGGUGAAAUGCGCAGAGAUAUGGAGGAACACCAGUGGCGAAGGCGACUUUCUGGUCUGUAACUGACGCUGAUGUGCGAAAGCGUGGGGAUCAAACAGG
Molecule: ribosomal RNA, 766 nt
Filed under: Staphylococcus aureus
Lineage: Bacteria; Bacillati; Bacillota; Bacilli; Caryophanales; Staphylococcaceae
Description: bacterial SSU rRNA
Rfam family: Bacterial small subunit ribosomal RNA
Source: RNAcentral